RNAcentral lists this long non-coding RNA (1192 nucleotides) under Malus domestica (apple). RNAcentral's name for it is "long non-coding RNA (MDOM_LNC015403)". Lineage: Eukaryota; Viridiplantae; Streptophyta; Magnoliopsida; Rosales; Rosaceae. The record is from RNAcentral.
AAUUAACCUCAACUUUUGGGCUAUGUUGCAAAACUUUCGGGGUCACUUUGUAAAGACACAAAAGUCCACUACUUCAUGUAAUUACAAUAGAACCCAAAAUUUAAUCAAUGUAAAAACUUCAUUAAAGGAGCAAAACAAUUUGUCCUUUAGCGUUUUUGGACCUAAACGUAAAAACGUAAACUUUUGGGCCAAAGUGCAAAUACACAAAAGUAUCAAAACUUUAUGUAAUUGCAUAAAAGGCCCCAAAAGUACUCCCAUUGAGGGAGGGCCGGUUUUUAGAGAGGGAAUGGGAGUGGAGAUAAGUCCACAAAAAUUUGGAAAUUUUUUCAACAAUUUCAUAAAGCCUUGCAAGUGGUUUUUGGUUGGUGUAAAUCAUUAAACCAUGCAUGUGGUGUGUAAGGUGUGUAAGGUGUGUAAGUCUUACACACCCAUCACAAUUUCUAUCACCUUUCAAAAAAUUAUAAAUGUUUUGAUGAUAGAUAUUUCACACCAAUCAACACAAAACAAAGACUUUAUGAAAUUAAUCAAAACUUUGAAUCAAAACACCAAACUUUUUGUUCUUGGCAAAAAUGUCAAGAACAAUGAAGAACAUUCAUGAAAAACCCAAAAUUUUUCCAUGAACUUUUUCACCCAAAAACAUUCCAAAACCAUUCAAACUUUAGGGAAAUAACAUCUAACCAAACUAGGGUACAUAAGGGUUCCAAAAGUCACUUGAAAACACUUUUAACAAGUCAAACAAGAACCCAAAAAUCCACCCUUUGUAUUUGGCCGAAAAUUCCCAAAGUCAUGGCACCAAAUUUUAGCUCCAAUAUUCAUGCUUAUAUGAACUACAUCUACAACAUUUGAGAUGGCAAAUUUUCUAGCAAAAUUUACAUUCAAAAAAACAAGAAUAAAGCUUGUAACAUAUUACAACUUUUAAAUCACAAACUAUGAACUACAAAACCCAAAAGGAUUCACCAACUACUAGACCUAGGCUCUGAUACCACUUGAAGGAAUAUUUUGUGAAAACAUGUUCAUUUAAGCAACAUCAAUAAGCAUGCAAUUAACAAUUAAAGGCAGAAUCAUGCUAGCAUGCACUUAAAAACAAAACAUUAACCAAGAAAUUCAAAGCCUAGUAGAUUGGUGAACCAAAACUCAACUCAAAUCAAAGUGAGUUGAAAUUUAUACCUUUGUAGAUUCCUCUUUGCAUAAG